UGGGGAAUCUUCCGCAAUGGACGAAAGUCUGACGGAGCAACGCCGCGUGAGUGAAGAAGGUUUUCGGAUCGUAAAACUCUGUCUUUUGGGGCGAACGUGAGUAUGGUGAACAAUCAUAGUCAGUGACGGUACCAAAGGAGGAAGCCACGGCUAACUACGUGCCAGCAGCCGCGGUAAUACGUAGGUGGCAAGCGUUGUCCGGAAUUAUUGGGCGUAAAGAGCGCGUAGGCGGGAUAGUCAGUCUGUUGUAAAGUGCGGGGCUCAACCCCGUGAUCGCAAUGGAAACAGCUAUUCUUGAGUGCAGGAGAGGAAAGUGGAAUUCCCAGUGUAGCGGUGAAAUGCGUAGAUAUUGGGAGGAACACCAGUGGCGAAGGCGACUUUCUGGACUGUGUCUGACGCUGAGGCGCGAAAGCCAGGGGAGCGAACGGGAUUAGAUACCCCGGUAGUCCUGGCCGUAAACGAUGGGUACUAGGUGUGGGAGGUAUCGACCCCUUCCGUGCCGGAGUUAACGCAAUAAGUACCCCGCCUGGGGAGUACGGUCGCAAGAUUAAAACUCAAAUGAUUGACGGGGUCAUAGCUGUUUCCUG
This 587-nucleotide ribosomal RNA is filed under the name uncultured bacterium. RNAcentral describes it as "partial 16S ribosomal RNA". It matches the Rfam family "Bacterial small subunit ribosomal RNA", at positions 355 to 1376 of the family's 1533-position model. The record is from RNAcentral.